This is a long non-coding RNA of Mus musculus (house mouse), 7745 nucleotides long. RefSeq annotates it as predicted gene, 37885. The record is from RefSeq and is a predicted model, not a curated record. NCBI's taxonomy places the organism in Eukaryota, Metazoa, Chordata, Mammalia, Rodentia, Muridae. The transcript has 2 exons.
UUGGGUAAUUCCUGCAGCCCCCUGCGGUGGAGCCUCGCCUCCAGUUCCCAUCCAUCUUGGUGAGUUUCCACUUCUUAUAGGAGUCACAGGUGAGGGUGUCCGGGGUCAGGUUGCAGAUCUCCAGGCGAGAGUAGUGUCUCAGGAAGUCACUGAAGGACAUCCUAGCAAAGCACAGACAGGGUGUCCCGAGUUAUAGAAGACACUGGCUUCACCUUAAUCUUCUACCUGGUUGACAGGGGUGGGGUGGGGCUGUCUAAGACUCAGUGAUGGACGCUAUGGCCAGACUCGGAGGCUCCAAAUCUAGUUCUGUAGCAGCCACUUUCUCAGGGGUGAUUUGGGGCAAAUUGAUGAGUUCUCUUUGCACCCCAGAGUUCUCAGUGGUGGAAUGAAAGCCAUGAAUAAGUACGAACCGAAACAACAUAUGGACUCUUGGAACAAUAUCCACUCGAGGUGUUCUGUGGGGGCAGUGCACACACAGAGGACCCUCUCGGCUCACUAACGAACUGGUUUCUUUCUUUCUUUCUUCCUUCCUUUCUUUCUUUCUUUCUUUCUUUCUUUCUUUUUCUUUUCUUUUUUUUUUCUUUCGAGACAGGGUUUCACUGUGUAGCCCUGGCUGUCCUGAAACUCACUCUGUAGACCAGGCUGGCCUCAAACUCAAAUCUGCCUGCCUCUGCCUCCCGAGUGCUGGGAUUAAAGGCGUGCACCACCACCGCCUGGCUUAGAGUUGGUUUCUUAAUGAGCCAAGGAUCUCUCUUUAGAGACUGAUGGAAGGAAAGGUCUCAUCUUUCUCUGUGUUUUCUCUUGGGGUCUAAACAUUUCUGAAGGAAUUCCUCUCAGCCCUUGUGAAAUUGCCGGGUGUUAACCCCACAGCUGAGAUGGACAAAUUGAAGAGAUUUAAAAGCUGUUUAGGAUCAUAUAGAGUUUUUUUUUUUUCUUUGUUGGAAACAGGUUCUUUCUGGAUAGCCAAGGCUAUGCAGCUUGGUCUCCAGUUUGAGAGCCCUCUUCCUCAAUUUUUAGAGAGCUAAGAUUACAGAGGUGCGCCACCUGCUUGGGACUUAGAUGCAUAAAGAGCAGCAAAGCCAGGUUGCCCUACCACACGUCCUCAGCGUGCUGAACGCAUUGCUGACUGGUGCCCUGGUUAGGAAUGUCCCUGCCGCCCCUGCUGCCUUACCAGAAUUCUCCGUCCUCCUGCCGUUCGGUUAGAUUUGCCCUUACUUCUGGGUCAACCGUGUUCCAGCUGGGGCAACUGGAAAGCGAAGCAAGAAGAGAGGUCUUAGGAAUCAGUGUGUGGCAAUGACCAUGUCUCUCCACAGUCCCCAAAGGCUGAGGCUCGGAACACACCCACUUUUACUAACUUCCGAGGGCCCAGACCCACCUGCAUCCAGACCCCAUGGAGAAACACAAAACAUAAUCUAAGAAGCACAGACGCUUGUGCAGGGAGCUAGGGGAGAGGUCACACUCUCCUGGAACACGGUGGAUAGAAGAGUAAAAAUGAGCAAGGCCCACCGUCAAGGGCUGGAGGAGCAUUGCUGUGUCAGGGACGAUGCUCCCGGCAGCUCUUUUAGGGGCAACUGGAAACCCACCAAGGACCACCCCCAGAGCAACCCGGAAGGAAGUCUGCCCGUAGGCGGUCCUCUGCUGAGGCUAGGGCCGCCUGGAACAAGCCAGAAAAGGGGUAGAGGAAGGGGAAGCGCUUCUGGGAAAGAGUCAAGGGACCAGGUGGACGGCUCAACGGAGCUUUUGUCCCAGAGGGUUGAAGCUUAACAGCUACCGGAAAGCCCUGGGGAUCAACAGGCUCAUCCCCGCUCUUGGCACACAGUUCAUGGCCUUGAUUUAUUAGGAUGACGGGGCCUUUUCUUCCUUUAUUUUUUGUUUACACUUAUUUGUGUGUGUGUGAGCGCACGCGCGAGUGUGUGCCCCCUCGAAUAUUCCAGCAGGGUGAUGGUGUGCUCUGCCACAGUGCUUUUUUGAAGGUUAGAGGACCACUUGUGGUUAGCAGGUUCUUUCCUCCAUGUAGGUCCCAGGCAUCAGGCUUGGCGCCAAGCAUCGUUACCUACUGGGCCAUCUCACUAGCCUGUGGGGUGUGUUUUACCCCAGAGGGCCCAAUAGCAGAGUGAACGUGAGCUGGAAAAGGAAGGAGGGACCACGGACCGGACCAUGAGCUGAUCCAGAGAGUAAAAGAACGCCUGCAGCUGCCUCGGUGACCAGCAGAGGGCAGCGCGCGCCAGGCAGCUGCCGCCCUGGAGGCCCCACCCCGGACAGCCACGUGCUAGCAGGGGGCGUACCUCCUCGGCUCCGGUGACAGAGUACGCAUGUCCUUUCACCAACUUCUGGUACGUAACGGCCUCAGAAUCUGCAGCGCUGGUGAUCUGCAAACACAAGGACAGUAGGUGGCAGCUGCUCCAUCCCGGAUACAAAUGGCCCAGAAAGAUGCACAUGGCACCCGGGCCUAGUCUGGAAAACUCUGCGCAUCCAUCCUGCCACCUGGAGGAGCAACUUUUAGUUGCUGAUCACCAGGGAGCAAGUUGGCGCAUGCCCCCCCUCCCCCCAGAUGAGUCACCUUCUAGACAAGGGUCUGUGGGAGGCCUAAUGACAGACACCCAAGUGGCAACUGUAGCCAAGAUGCUGUGAUUCUGCAACCCCUACUCCGCCCAACUAAGUUGCACUGACAGCGACUUUUUAACUUCAGAAUCCAUGUAUUGGGUUGCCAACUCCUUAAAGGCCCUCCUUUCCCAUCCUUUGGGCACAGCUUGGGGAAACUCCUGGGGCCUGGACCAGCCUCACUUUCCAUCUCCCUGGUGAGGUUUGUUUGCCUGCAAAGCUAUUUUGAAGAAGCAGAUCCUUCUGGUACUCCCUGGCGUCUUCUCCAGGACCCACCAGCACUGGGACAGAGUGAGGAGAGGUUGCAGGGCUGCUCAAACAACCCUGCAGGUGCCGGACAAGGUGUCAAGACCAGCAGAAGGGGGGUGGGGGGCUUUUUGUGACCUGCGGUCUGUGAGUGGAGUGAUACAACACAGUUAGAAUGGAAAGUGGGAUGGGGAUGAAGGUCUGGUGGCACUGUUACUGUAUCAAUGGCGCCCCUAGAGGACUAUUGCCUGGUGACCCUGGGCAAGGGAUGCACCCAUGCCUUAAGGAGCUUCUGGGUGGCGGCGGACUUGAGUGCUUGCGGAGGGUGAUGGAGACUUACAUCGAUAGAGCAGCCAAGCAGAGAACCUUUCUCCAAAGCCUUCUGGAUGAUCUUGAACAAGUUGGGAGGAGGCUUCCUCAGCUCAUACCACUCAGCAAUGCCUCCUGUGAAGUCUUCAAAGCCUUCCGUGGUGGCACCCCCUGAGAGUGCUUCAUAGCACCCAUUGAUCCUGAAGGGGGAAUUCAUGCUGCAACAGGGAGCCUUCAUCCCUGAAAAUGCCUCCCCACUCCAACUUAGAUCCCCACUUGGGAGCUCAUGGGGUCCUCUGCUUUUAUCUUCCUUGUCUUUGUCUCCAACUCGGGGUGCCCAGGAAGGCAAGGAGCGAUCCCUCUAGUUAUUUUCCUCUGUGGCUACAACAUGCUUUAGAAUUUGUACCAAACCAGGAAGGGUUUAGUGAUGUUCUGGGAUGACUUAAUGCUGCUCUGAUCCAGCCUCUGGCGUUGACUCUAGCCCUGACACAGAGGUUGGCUGGAGACACUUCAGAAAUGAACCCAGUUUCCCAAAAAGCACACAGCAGGUUCCUGUGGUCAUGCCCUGAGCUCUAUGCCCCAAGUUCUCUUGGUUAAGAACAUGAAGCCCCCCUGCCCCAGUGUCUGGCCUGGGGUUGUAGAGAUCCUAAACCCACUAGCUCCAUCUUAAUGCAGUGAGUGCAUCAGCACCAGCACCAGCACCAGCACCAGCACCAGCACCAGCACCUGAGGCUCCCGCUGCAGAGGGCUGACAUCCGGGGUGGACCCAGCACAACUUUGGGCCAGCUGGGUGAUACACAGCUAGGAUUAGAACCAAGAAGCCAUUCUUACCAGCCACCUGAUUUAUUCUGGGUGAGUUUCUACAGUUUUUCUACCCCUGCAAUGGGUAGCUUUGCCCACUGGCAGAAGCUUUUGGUCUUUUCAGCUAAGAGGCAAUGGGGGCCCACCAGAGAAGCAGAGUUCUUUCUCAAGGCCAGAGCAGACAGCCCCAGAAUGUCCCAGUUCACUUGCUCAGAAAGAGCAAUGACUGUCCUGUACCAGUACAUCAUGUGAACAGCCACCAUACCCAUAUUACCUCCUUGAAUUAAGAGCCAAAUUUGGGCCAAAGUCAUCCUUUUAUAGAACAGAAUGUCUAUUCAAAACAGUCCCCGAAAUAGCUCCCGCUGUUUUGGAGUCCAGGGCAGCAGAGGCAAGAUGGGGUGUUGGGGAAGGGCGUGGUUACUUACUUGGCAUAGGCUUUCUCCAGAAGGGCACUCCAGAACUCACUCCCUUCAGCUGAAUGCACAAAGAGCAGCUCCCCGUCCUUAGUGGGCAGCCUGUCGUCCACCACCACCUCCACCCACUCGCCAUAUUGCCAGAACUGCAAGGCAAGAGGGACAAGAUAGGGUGACACUGGGACUCUGAGCCUUGGCCUCAUCCGGUUCUCCCCAGCCCAGCCCCUUGCUGUGGGUUCCUAUGAUGCUCUUCGGUGUCCUAUGUUAAGUGUGCCCCUCACCAAGCAAGAAGCCAGCGGAGCUCAUCUGUGUCUCCAAAGCCGCAUGCACUUCUUUAAAAAAAUAUCAUCUCUCACUUGCUAUCAUAAAAAGAUUUUUAACCUUUUAUCUCAACCCUCAAAUAAUAAACAUAAAAAAAAACCCUAGGGGAUUACUUCCUGAACAUAUUACUUCCUGUACACCAUGAUCUACCUCCGUGGACCACCUCCAUCCCAACUCCACGCCGUUCGGAUGGGAUCCCACAUGAUGAUCAAGUUGGGAAAAUCUUGUCUCUCUCUUCCAGCAUCCUUUGCAGAACAGAACUGAUCUCCAGAGCUUUCAAACUACCAGAGACUGGGGAGUGUAGGAGCAAGCCAAGCCCAGAGGCAUCUGCUGAGCCCCUGAGCCAGGGCAAGGAAGUGCCUCAGCCAAGUAUAAAGUUACCUGGAAGUGGAAGAUGCCUGCAUAGUUUUCCUGGAAGCUCUGAUCUGGAGGCACAACCCGAGCCAGGAUUUCCUCAUUCAAGGUGAGGGAGGCGAUGGCAGCCAGCAGCCAGCAGUCCCCUGAGAACACAAAGCCACACAGAGCUCUGGUCAGGUCUUAGUUCCCAGAGGAUGUGAAGUCUUGUUCCUGCAGCUGGGUGCUUGGAACCCAACGUUACCCUGGAGUAGAUGGAGUGGUGUUUCAGACAGUCCCUCAACUAAGGGACAGGUCACCCGGUCUGAUGGAUAUUUUUAUGGACACGCUACAGGAGAAAUGCCGUGUUGGGUGGAUGGCUGCAUACAAGAGAGGUUCGUUCUCUGAGAAACUCAGAACUCUCGUGGCGGCUCAACUGUGUCCUUGGAGCCCAGCUCUGUGCCUGAUACACAGGAGCUAUGCCCGUCUAUGGACGGACUGAACUUGACGGGCAACAGAGGCUUCAAUGAAAAGAGGUUUUCUAGCGGAGUUUGAAUGAGAGGAAGAAAAUACAGCAAUAGACGGGGAGGAGCUGAACACAAGGAAGGAGAUGCCGGGGCACAGGGGGCGGGGGUGGAAUCCAGGGGAAGGGAGGAAGGCAGUGCGAUCACAGGAGUGUACAACAAAGGCAGACAGAACAGCCAUGAGCUGAUCUGCAUGAGCUCCAGCUGACUGAGGUUUCCCUGGGGUAGAGGCAGAGCUCACUUCUGGGAUGUGGUCAGGGAAGGGACUGGGCGGGGACAGGGACAGGGACAACCAGAUGAGGCUCUCUGAUCCUCAGGCCAGGUCUUUGUGAAGGAAGAUGUAUGUCUAAAGCAUGCAGUCCCCAUUGGUGCCCACAGCAGGAGCUUCGUGUAGGACGCACCAUGGUCAUCCUGCAGUUACAAAUAACCUGGUCCAGCACCGGCUCCAGGCACUUUGCAGACUGGGACUUGUUGAGCACAAAAACAAAAGAACAAAACCCAAAACCAACAAUAAAGGGGAACUAGAGAGAUGGCUCAGCGGUUAAGAGCACUGACUGUUCUUCCAAAGGUCCAGAGUUCAAAUCCCAGCAACCACAUGGUGGCUCACAACCAUCUGUAAUGAGAUCUGACACCUUCUUCUGGUGCUGCCUGAAGACAGCUACAGUGUACUUAGAUAUAAUAAUAAAUAAAUCUUUAGGCCAGGGCCAGCCUGAGUGAACUGGGUCGAUCAGAGUGAGCAGAGGUCCUGAAUUCAAAAUUCCCAGCAACCACAUGAUGGCUCACAGCUACAGUGUACUCAUAUACAUAAAGUAAAUAAAUAAAUCUUUUUUUUUAAUGGGGGGGGGGCAAACUGGGAAGAGAAUGAAGAUGUUUACUACAGCAACAGUUGCCAUGGUAACCACAUAACCACAGGGACUAGCUUGGUUAAUUAGAAUACUUGUGCCCUUUAUGGAGUUCUGAAUUCUGGUGGCUACUGGGCAAAUCCUGCUGGAGCCUGAGAGAGGCGAUCCCUCUGACAGGACGGCACUCAGAUCUUCGGGUUGUGCUGUGUGACAAAUGGUGGCAGUGGGUGGUAUGUGGAUACAGAGACCCCCUAAUUAGCAGGUCACCAAAAGAAAGUGAAUCUGCUGCUUCUGGAAUUGGGUGGGUUGUGGAGCACUGCACACUUUGUAGUUUUCCGCUGCAACCAUUUGCUGUUCUCCGCGUGACACCAGGGCCUUCCCGGGACUCUGUCUCCAAGGUUCAGAAGCUAUGACUCUGUCCCUAAUUCCAGACAACUGGAACACUGACUGGGGCAGUGUCUGAAUUCAGGAACAAAGUGUAACGAUCCCCGGUUGAACUUGGGGGGUGGGGGCAGGCGGCCUCUACAUUGCAUCUAUGAAGAUGUGUGUAGACUGAAGGGCUGACAUCAUCUUGCCUCCAUGAAACUCUGCCAAUGCUGCUGAAGAAAGUCUGAGAGAUGAGGAAGCUCACCCCACCCCCACCCCCUACUCGAGUUGUUCCUGAAGCCAGACCUGGCUUACAGUAUUCCCCUCACAUGGGCUGACCAUUUCCCCGUUUCCUGACCCAGCGCACUGGGUUACAAGUCCCUGCGGCUUACUGCUGGGGGAAGGUGGACAAGAGCCAUUGCUUGUUCAGGCCUCCUGCACACUGCCCACUUCUCUAGGAGAUUCAAAUUCUUGUCAUUACUCCUCACAACAGCUCCAGGAGGGCGUGCAAUGCAAACGCUGUCUCCACGUUAAAGAAUGACAAGGCCUAGCAAGCCUCUGUGUCCACUGUGCACAGUCAAACACAGCCGCAGGCCCAAGGUUUAGAGGUGGGGCUUUAUUGGCUGUCAGACUUCCAAGGGAUCCAACCUUUUGGGUCACUGAGGCCACUAUACGGCCCAAACUAGAGACUCUGACACGGAGGCUAGGGAGCUGGAGAAAACUGGUGGUGAUCCUUUCUAGCUCUGGAUAGCAGCUGGACCUGAGCGUCAGGAGGUCAUGGGGUAGACAUUUGGCAGGUCUUACACACACAGUCUCUGAGUCCAAACCCUGGGACGUUUCUUGUUUUCUGGAGACACGGUCUCACUAUGGGACUCUGGCUGGUUUGGAACUUGAUGUGUAGACCAGGCUGCUCUUGAACUCACAGAGCUCUCUGCCUGCCUCUGCUUCUCUAGUGCUGUAAUUAAAGGCAUGUGCUAUCAUAACCAGCU